This 388-nucleotide long non-coding RNA is filed under the name Homo sapiens (human). RNAcentral's name for it is "non-protein coding lnc-RHOA-1:1". The record is from RNAcentral. Lineage: Eukaryota; Metazoa; Chordata; Mammalia; Primates; Hominidae.
AUCAGCCCAGGUCAGAACCCCCACGCCAGCUGGAUGCCCAGGAGACUUAACACCAACCACAGCAGCAGCAGCUUGAAGAGGGUCACGCGCAUGUCCUGCGCCUCCCACUCCCGCAAGAACUCGCUGCCCAGCGCGCCCAGCACCGUGGCCGGCAGAGCCUGCAAGGCCUGCCCAGACCAGGACUCCGCCAUGACUGGCCCUCGCCCCACCCGGGGGCGUGGACGGGCUCCUGAGCAAUAGUGGAUGAGCUGUGAGUGCGCGCGCGUGCGCGGGGCCGCGACCUGUGCCGGCUCGAGCCCGCUGGGCACUCGGAGGCGCGCACGUCGUUCCCCGCCCUCCCGCCGCCGCCCGCCCUCGCUCUCUCGCGCUACCCUCCCGCCGCCCGCGG